This 417-nucleotide long non-coding RNA is filed under the name Musa acuminata (dwarf banana). RNAcentral describes it as "long non-coding RNA (MACU_LNC004046)". Lineage: Eukaryota; Viridiplantae; Streptophyta; Magnoliopsida; Zingiberales; Musaceae. The record is from RNAcentral.
GUAAUAUCCCUCACUUUUGAAAAUUAUUAAUAAAGAUUUAUUUAUAAAUCGGAGGACCUAUAUGUAAAUAUAGAAAUUUCAAGGACUAAACUGUUAAGUUGUAAAAAGAAGAAAAUAAAGAAAACCAAAAAUUUCGGUUUUAUCCCACCGCCUCCCACGCUCUCUCUGUUUCUCGAAAGAAACAGAGAGAGGCGGUGGGGCGUGGGGAGAAAAAGAAGAGAAGUAGAGGGAGAAGAGAAGAAGAGGGAAAAGAAGAGAGGAAGAAGAGGGAGAAGAGAAGAAAAGAAGAAGUAGAAGAGAGGGAAGAUGGAGAGGAGAAAGAGAGGCAGCUGCAGCAGCUAGGACUGUAGCACCUCUGUUUCCCGCAGGUGGAAACAGAGGAGAGGAUGUGUGGGGCGUUGAGGAUGAAAAAGGGAA